GACGAACGCUGGCGGCGUGCUUAACACAUGCAAGUCGAACGGAAAGGCCCCUUUGGGGGUACUCGAGUGGCGAACGGGUGAGUAACACGUGAGUAACCUGCCCUUGACUUCGGGAUAACUUCAGGAAACUGGGGCUAAUACCGGAUAGGAAUCCUUGCUGCAUGGUGGGGGUUGGAAAGCUUCGGCGGUUUUGGAUGGACUCGCGGCUUAUCAGCUUGUUGGUGGGGUAGUGGCUUACCAAGGCUUUGACGGGUAGCCGGCCUGAGAGGGCGACCGGCCACAUUGGGACUGAGAUACGGCCCAGACUCCUACGGGAGGCAGCAGUGGGGAAUAUUGCACAAUGGGCGGAAGCCUAAUGCAGCAACGCCGCGUGCGGGAUGACGGCCUUCGGGUUGUAAACCGCUUUCAGCAGGGGCGAAGCUUGUGGUGACGGUACCUGCAGAAGAAGCACCGGCUAACUACGUG
RNAcentral lists this ribosomal RNA (465 nucleotides) under uncultured bacterium. RNAcentral's name for it is "partial 16S ribosomal RNA". It matches the Rfam family "Bacterial small subunit ribosomal RNA", at positions 28 to 507 of the family's 1533-position model. The record is from RNAcentral.